AGGUAGCUUGCUACUGGACCUAGCGGCGGACGGGUGAGUAAUACUUAGGAAUCUGCCUAUUAGUGGGGGACAACGUUCCGAAAGGAGCGCUAAUACCGCAUACGCCCUACGGGGGAAAGCAGGGGAUCUUCGGACCUUGCGCUAAUAGAUGAGCCUAAGUCGGAUUAGCUAGUUGGUGGGGUAAAGGCCUACCAAGGCGACGAUCUGUAGCGGGUUUGAGAGGAUGAUCCGCCACACUGGGACUGAGACACGGCCCAGACUCCUACGGGAGGCAGCAGUGGGGAAUAUUGGACAAUGGGCGCAAGCCUGAUCCAGCCAUGCCGCGUGUGUGAAGAAGGCCUUAUGGUUGUAAAGCACUUUAAGCGAGGAGGAGGCUUACCUAGCUAAUACCUAGGAUAAGUGGACGUUACUCGCAGAAUAAGCACCGGCUAACUCUGUGCCAGCAGCCGCGGUAAUACAGAGGGUGCAAGCGUUAAUCGGAAUUACUGGGCGUAAAGCGCGCGUAGGUGGCCAUUUAAGUCAAAUGUGAAAUCCCCGAGCUUAACUUGGGAAUUGCAUUCGAUACUGGAUGGCUAGAGUAUAGGAGAGGAAGGUAGAAUUCCAGGUGUAGCGGUGAAAUGCGUAGAGAUCUGGAGGAAUACCGAUGGCGAAGGCAGCCUUCUGGCCUAAUACUGACACUGAGGUGCG
Molecule: ribosomal RNA, 687 nt
Filed under: uncultured Acinetobacter sp.
Lineage: Bacteria; Pseudomonadati; Pseudomonadota; Gammaproteobacteria; Moraxellales; Moraxellaceae
Description: bacterial SSU rRNA
Rfam family: Bacterial small subunit ribosomal RNA
Source: RNAcentral